AGAGGUUUGAUCCUGGCUCAGAUUGAACGCUGGCGGAAUGCUUUACACAUGCAAGUCGAACGGCAGCACGGAGAGCUUGCUCUCUGGUGGCGAGUGGCGAACGGGUGAGUAAUAUAUCGGAACGUGUCCAAUAAUGGGGGAUAACGAGUCGAAAGAUUCGCUAAUACCGCAUACGCCCUACGGGGGAAAGCAGGGGAUCGUAAGACCUUGCGUUAAUGGAGCGGCCGAUAUCUGAUUAGCUUGUUGGUGAGGUAAAGGCUCACCAAGGCGACGAUCAGUAGCUGGUUUGAGAGAACGACCAGCCACACUGGAACUGAGACACGGUCCAGACUCCUACGGGAGGCAGCAGUGGGGAAUUUUGGACAAUGGGGGCAACCCUGAUCCAGCCAUUCCGCGUGAGUGAAGAAGGCCUUCGGGUUGUAAAGCUCUUUCGCAAGGGAAGAAAACUUAUGAUCGAAUAAAUCAUGAGGUUGACGGUACCUUGAUAAGAAGCACCGGCUAACUACGUGCCAGCAGCCGCGGUAAUACGUAGGGUGCGAGCGUUAAUCGGAAUUACUGGGCGUAAAGCGUGCGCAGGCGGUUUUGUAAGUCGGAUGUGAAAUCCCCGGGCUCAACCUGGGAACUGCGUUCGAAACUGCAAGGCUAGAGUGUGUCAGAGGGGGGUAGAAUUCCACGUGUAGCAGUGAAAUGCGUAGAGAUGUGGAGGAAUACCAAUGGCGAAGGCAGCCCCCUGGGAUAACACUGACGCUCAUGCACGAAAGCGUGGGGAGCAAACAGGAUUAGAUACCCUGGUAGUCCACGCCCUAAACGAUGUCAACUAGUUGUUGGUAGAGUAAAAUCUAUGAGUAACGUAGCUAACGCGUGAAGUUGACCGCCUGGGGAGUACGGUCGCAAGAUUAAAA
This 902-nucleotide ribosomal RNA is filed under the name uncultured bacterium. RNAcentral describes it as "bacterial SSU rRNA". It matches the Rfam family "Bacterial small subunit ribosomal RNA", at positions 1 to 899 of the family's 1533-position model. The record is from RNAcentral.